Molecule: long non-coding RNA, 905 nt
Organism: Eupeodes corollae
Lineage: Eukaryota; Metazoa; Arthropoda; Insecta; Diptera; Syrphidae
Exons: 2
Source: RefSeq, a predicted model, not a curated record
UUCGUUUCGGAUUCAAAAAAAAUGUGUGUUUGUGUUGAGAACUGUUUAAAAACUGUUAGAGAGAAUUUACUGUGUUUUUGUUAGAUUACUUCAUAACGAUAGAAGUCGUAAAUAAAAUUCAUAAUCUAUUCAUUAGUAAUAUUUUAUAUAUGUAGCUGCAUCGCACCGGUCAAAAUUUAAAUAAAAUGCAAGCCUUUAAAAAAAGUAAUGAAUAUUUUAUUGUUGCUUCGUCCGCUAAAUAAACAACUUAAUCUGGGAAUCACCCGUUUCUAUUUGGUGUAUGAUAUGAGUUUCCUGGGUAAACCUGGAAAAGAUGAUCAAUCAACGAACAAACAGAGUCAAGCCCCCAACACCUGUUUUAAUAAUUUAUUUAUUAAACAAUGUAUUUAUUAAAAGAAAAUACAAUAUUGCUGAAUGAUUUAAAAAACAGUAGUGCGUUGGAAUUGAUUCAUUAAACUAUGUUGCUUUUAAAAUUGUAUUCACUUUUGCAUUUUCAUCGCUAAAAUUUAGUUUGGCAAUGUCAAAGUACAUACAAAUUGAUAGACUAGAAAAUUCUGUUACUGAAGGAACUUAUCUGAUGACUCUUCAAAAACCCUUUGGAUUUAAACGCGCAAAUACAAGAAGUUAUAAAGCCACAUCUCAACAAUGGACAUUUAAAUAUAAGCCCGGGUACUUUGCCUGAGGAAAGUGAAAUUGAUAAUCUUAAUUUUAAAGAUGAAGUUUUUAUUAAUAUUGGAGUUUUUGUCCAAAAUAAAUAUAUUCUAUCUGUGUUUUUUACUCAUUAAGUUUUGUUUACAUACAAAAAACUGUGUUCAGUCGAAAAUAAACAAUUUAUCAGUCAAUCAUUAUUAGUUUAAAAUCUUUUAAACAAAAUAAAUUACUAAAAAGUUAAUUUAUGUCAAGAA